Molecule: ribosomal RNA, 253 nt
Filed under: uncultured bacterium
Lineage: Bacteria
Description: partial 16S ribosomal RNA
Rfam family: Bacterial small subunit ribosomal RNA
Source: RNAcentral
UACAGAGGUCUCAAGCGUUGUUCGGAUUCAUUGGGCGUAAAGGGCGCGUAGGUGGCGCCAUAAGUCAGGUGUGAAAUCUCGGGGCUCAACCCCGAAACUGCACUUGAUACUGUGGUGCUCGAGUACUGGAGAGGAGAUUGGAAUUUACGGUGUAGCAGUGAAAUGCGUAGAUAUCGUAAGGAAGACCAGUGGCGAAGGCGAAUCUCUGGACAGUUACUGACACUGAGGCUCGAAGGCCAGGGGAGCAAACGGG